UACGUAGGGAGCAAGCGUUGUCCGGAAUCAUUGGGCGUAAAGCGCGCGUAGGUGGCCACAUAAGUCCGUUGUGAAAGUCAAAGGCUCAACCUUUGAAAGCCGAUGGAUACUGUGUGGCUAGAGUACGGAAGAGGCGAGUGGAAUUCCUGGUGUAGCGGUGGAAUGCGCAGAUAUCAGGAGGAACACCAAUAGCGAAGGCAGCUCGCUGGGACGGUACUGACGCUAAGGCGCGAAAGCGUGGGGAGCGAACAGG
Molecule: ribosomal RNA, 253 nt
Filed under: uncultured bacterium
Lineage: Bacteria
Description: partial 16S ribosomal RNA
Rfam family: Bacterial small subunit ribosomal RNA
Source: RNAcentral